This 373-nucleotide ribosomal RNA is filed under the name uncultured organism. RNAcentral's name for it is "partial 16S ribosomal RNA". It matches the Rfam family "Bacterial small subunit ribosomal RNA", at positions 527 to 896 of the family's 1533-position model. The record is from RNAcentral.
GAACUGUGCGAACGUUAUUCGGAAUCACUGGGCUUAAAGGGUGCGUAGGCGGGUUUAAAGGUCUGAUGUGAAAGCCCACGGCUCAACCGUGGAAUUGCGUUGGAAACCAUAAGCCUUGAGGAGAUCAGAGGUGAGCGGAACUGAUGGUGGAGCGGUGAAAUGCGUUGAUAUCAUCAGGAACACCGGUGGCGAAAGCGGCUCACUGGGAUCUUUCUGACGCUGAGGCACGAAAGCUAGGGGGAGCGAACGGGAUUAGAUACCCCGGUAGUCCUAGCUGUAAACGAUCAGUACUAGUCCCGUGGGGGCUUCCACACCCUCUCGGACGUAGCGAAAGUGUUAAGUACUGCGCCUGGGGAGUAUGGUCGCAAGGCUG